GUUAGAGUGGCAGAACCCGGACAUUGCAAAAGGCCUAAGCCCUUUCUACAGAGGUUCAAGUCCUCUCUCUAACU
Molecule: transfer RNA, 74 nt
Filed under: Gadus morhua (Atlantic cod)
Lineage: Eukaryota; Metazoa; Chordata; Actinopteri; Gadiformes; Gadidae
Description: tRNA-Leu
Rfam family: tRNA
About the family: Transfer RNA (tRNA) molecules are approximately 80 nucleotides in length. Their secondary structure includes four short double-helical elements and three loops (D, anti-codon, and T loops).
Source: RNAcentral